RNAcentral lists this ribosomal RNA (442 nucleotides) under uncultured Christensenellaceae bacterium. Its description in RNAcentral is "bacterial SSU rRNA". It matches the Rfam family "Bacterial small subunit ribosomal RNA", at positions 338 to 795 of the family's 1533-position model. Lineage: Bacteria; Bacillati; Bacillota; Clostridia; Christensenellales; Christensenellaceae. The record is from RNAcentral.
CCUACGGGGGGCAGCAGUGGGGAAUAUUGGGCAAUGGGGGGAACCCUGACCCAGCGACGCCGCGUGAGGGAAGAAGGUUUUCGGAUUGUAAACCUCUGUCCUUGGUGAAGAGUAGAAGACGGUAACCAAGGAGGAAGCCCCGGCUAACUACGUGCCAGCAGCCGCGGUAAUACGUAGGGGGCGAGCGUUGUCCGGAAUGAUUGGGCGUAAAGGGCGCGUAGGCGGCCAUGCAAGUCUGGAGUGAAAGUCCAUUUUUCAAGGAUGGAAUUGCUUUGGAAACUGUGUGGCUGGAGUGCAGGAGAGGUUAUCGGAAUUCCCGGUGUAGCGGUGAAAUGCGUAGAGAUCGGGAGGAACACCAGUGGCGAAGGCGGGUAACUGGACUGCAACUGACGCUGAGGCGCGAAAGUGUGGGGAGCAAACAGGAUUAGAUACCCCUGUAGUC